Molecule: small RNA, 131 nt
Filed under: Citrobacter freundii
Lineage: Bacteria; Pseudomonadati; Pseudomonadota; Gammaproteobacteria; Enterobacterales; Enterobacteriaceae
Also listed under: 1 other name
Description: RtT sRNA
Rfam family: RtT RNA
About the family: This family represents a bacterial cis-regulatory element known as RtT RNA.
Source: RNAcentral
UGCACCGCCCAAUAGGGAAGGAUGAGAAGCUUCGACUAAGGUUCGAUUCGAGCGUAGCGAGAAAGCGUUGCCGCAGGCAACGACCCGAAGGGCGAAGCGCGCAGCGCUGAGUAAUCCUUCCCCCACCACCU